Anopheles gambiae (African malaria mosquito) is the source of this 579-nucleotide long non-coding RNA. RefSeq lists it as uncharacterized. The record is from RefSeq and is a predicted model, not a curated record. NCBI's taxonomy places the organism in Eukaryota, Metazoa, Arthropoda, Insecta, Diptera, Culicidae. The transcript is spliced from 4 exons.
CCCCUCCCGACAAUGGCACUCAAAUUCUCUCAUUUUCUCAUGCCCUCUCUGUCACAUUCGUAGCUCGAUCUCCCUCUUCUGGGACUUAGCGUUCUGAGCAUGCGGUUUUUGCAACGGUCAUUUCGUGCCACUUCGAUCUCAUCACCUUCUUUCCCCUCCCACCCCUCUUUUUGAUCCGCGCUUUGGGGCUUGCAAAUUUUUGACAUGUCAAAUGAGAGUGAAGCUAAAAUGUAAACAACAAGUGUUCGCGUGUGCCGUGAUUUUAAUAAACAUAAAAUCAACCACGGAAGUAUGAUUUAGUUGUGGUGGAAGCGAAAAAAAAUGCUUGGAGCAUGGAAUAAAACCGGAUGAAAUUUCUAGCCUUCACGCACGAUGCCGACGCUGAGGUUUUACAGGUGAACAACAAUUAGCAACUCCCGAUCGAAUUGCACACAACAACCACCCACAAUCACAGCUGUAAAAAGUAACACGGAUAGGUAGCAAGGAAAUCAAGCUUGUACACAGAAAUCUACACAAAAACUGGGUUUUAUAAGCGUACGAAAAGCGACGCGGCUAUCUUUGAAUAAAAAGUAAACAAAA